GCGCGAGCCUCAUACGAUCAGCUCCUGUUUAAUCCUCCAGGGCGGAAACGCAGCAAAGGCAGACGGUUGUAGCGGUGCGAUAUGAGUAACUUGCCCUAU
Molecule: signal recognition particle RNA, 99 nt
Filed under: Bacteroidota bacterium
Lineage: Bacteria; Pseudomonadati; Bacteroidota
Description: Bacteroidetes bacterium (activated sludge metagenome) signal recognition particle sRNA small type
Rfam family: Bacteroidales small SRP
About the family: The non-coding component of the signal recognition particle in Bacteroides
Source: RNAcentral